This 274-nucleotide ribosomal RNA is filed under the name uncultured bacterium. RNAcentral's name for it is "partial 16S ribosomal RNA". It matches the Rfam family "Bacterial small subunit ribosomal RNA", at positions 523 to 796 of the family's 1533-position model. The record is from RNAcentral.
AUACGUAGGUCCCGAACGUUGCGCGAAAUUACUGGGCGUAAAGGGUCCGUAGGCGGUCUGGUAAGUGGAAGGUGAAAGCCUGGGGCUCAACUCCAGAAUUGCCUUCCAAACUGCCGGACUUGAGGCAGGGAGAGGUCGGCGGAAUUCCCGGUGUAGCGGUGAAAUGCGUAGAUAUCGGGAGGAGCACCAGUGGCGAAGGCGGCCGACUGGAACUGUCCUGCCGCUGAGGGACGAAAGCCAGGGGAGCGAACCGGAUUAGAAACCCUAGUAGUCC